UACGUAGGGCGCAAGCGUUGUCCGGAAUUAUUGGGCGUAAAGAGCUCGUAGGCGGUCUGUCGCGUCUGCUGUGAAAUCCCGAGGCUCAACCUCGGGCUUGCAGUGGGUACGGGCAGACUAGAGUGCGGUAGGGGAGAAUGGAAUUCCUGGUGUAGCGGUGGAAUGCGCAGAUAUCAGGAGGAACACCGAUGGCGAAGGCAGUUCUCUGGCCGUAACUGACGCUGAGGAGCGAAAGCGUGGGAGCGAACAGGAUUAGAU
RNAcentral lists this ribosomal RNA (258 nucleotides) under uncultured Actinomycetales bacterium. RNAcentral's name for it is "partial 16S ribosomal RNA". It matches the Rfam family "Bacterial small subunit ribosomal RNA", at positions 524 to 783 of the family's 1533-position model. The record is from RNAcentral. Lineage: Bacteria; Bacillati; Actinomycetota; Actinomycetes; Actinomycetales.